GACGAACGCUGGCGGCGUGCUUAACACAUGCAAGUCGAACGGAAAGGCCCUGCUUGCAGGGUACUCGAGUGGCGAACGGGUGAGUAACACGUGGGUGAUCUGCCCUGCACUUCGGGAUAAGCCUGGGAAACUGGGUCUAAUACCGGAUAGGAGCCAUUUUUAGUGUGAUGGUUGUAAAGUUUUUUCGGUGUAGGAUGAGCUCGCGGCCUAUCAGCUUGUUGGUGGGGUAAUGGCCUACCAAGGCGGCGACGGGUAGCCGGCCUGAGAGGGUGGACGGCCACAUUGGGACUGAGAUACGGCCCAGACUCCUACGGGAGGCAGCAGUGGGGAAUAUUGCACAAUGGGCGCAAGCCUGAUGCAGCGACGCCGCGUGGGGGAUGACGGCCUUCGGGUUGUAAACUCCUUUCGCUAGGGACGAAGCUUUUUGUGACGGUACCUAGAGAAGAAGCACCGGCUAACUACGUG
RNAcentral lists this ribosomal RNA (465 nucleotides) under uncultured bacterium. RNAcentral describes it as "partial 16S ribosomal RNA". It matches the Rfam family "Bacterial small subunit ribosomal RNA", at positions 28 to 507 of the family's 1533-position model. The record is from RNAcentral.